GAUGAACGCUGGCGGCGUGCCUAAUACAUGCAAGUCGAGCGAACGGACGAGAAGCUUGCUUUUCUGAUGUUAGCGGCGGACGGGUGAGUAACACGUGGAUAACCUACCUAUAAGACUGGGAUAACUUCGGGAAACCGGAGCUAAUACCGGAUAAUAUUUUGAACCGCAUGGUUCAAAAGUGAAAGACGGUCUUUCUGUCACUUAUAGAUGGAUCCGCGCUGCAUUAGCUAGUUGGUAAGGUAACGGCUUACCAAGGCAACGAUGCAUAGCCGACCUGAGAGGGUGAUCGGCCACACUGGAACUGAGACACGGUCCAGACACCUACGGGAGGCAGCAGUAGGGAAUCUUCCGAAAUGGGCGAAAGACUGACGGAGCAACGGCGCGUGAGUGAUGAAGGUCUUCGGAUCGUAAAACUCUGUUAUUAGGGAAGAACAUAUGUGUAAGUAACUGUGCACAGCUUGACGGUACCUAAUCAGAAAGCCACGGCUAACUACGUG
This 497-nucleotide ribosomal RNA is filed under the name uncultured bacterium. Its description in RNAcentral is "partial 16S ribosomal RNA". It matches the Rfam family "Bacterial small subunit ribosomal RNA", at positions 28 to 507 of the family's 1533-position model. The record is from RNAcentral.